UACGUAGGGUGCAGGCGUUAAUCGGAAUUACUGGGCGUAAAGCGUGCGCAGGCGGUCUCUUAAGACAGGUGUGAAAUCCCCGGGCUUAACCUGGGAAUGGCCAUGGAAACUGGCGAACUGGAGUGCGGCAGAGGGGGGUGGAAUUCCGCGUGUAGCAGUGAAAUGCGUAGAGAUGCGGAGGAACACCGAUGGCGAAGGCAGCCCCCUGGGCCAGCACUGACGCUCAUGCACGAAAGCGUGGGGAGCAAACAGG
RNAcentral lists this ribosomal RNA (253 nucleotides) under uncultured bacterium. RNAcentral describes it as "partial 16S ribosomal RNA". It matches the Rfam family "Bacterial small subunit ribosomal RNA", at positions 524 to 776 of the family's 1533-position model. The record is from RNAcentral.